RNAcentral lists this long non-coding RNA (1211 nucleotides) under Eutrema salsugineum. Its description in RNAcentral is "long non-coding RNA (ESAL_LNC001910)". Lineage: Eukaryota; Viridiplantae; Streptophyta; Magnoliopsida; Brassicales; Brassicaceae. The record is from RNAcentral.
UUUGAUAAAGAUACAUAAAAAUAGCGGUUGAUGACAAUUAAAAGACUACUACAAUUGAUGAUUAUUACAAUUAAUGACCAUUACAGACAAAAUUGAUAAUCAUUACACAAAAAGAGAUCAUGAGCAAACAGAAGAUCAAUUAUUUAAUUAUUGGGUUCUGUAUUUGUAAAUGCGCUUUAUUGUUGUGUUGGGAACUUGGGCCUGUUAGGAAAAAACUCCCUACCCGUCUCUGAUGUCGAUGGUGGAGAAAAUGGAGAUGACGGUGACGAAUUUUUGAGAUUUGUGAGAUACUGCAAAUGAAAGAAGUCAACUUAAGAAGUUUACUUUCGAAAUCAACUCAAGAAGUCUGCUUUCGGAGAUGACAGUGAUGAAUUGUUGAGAUUUGUGAGAUACUGCAAAUGAAAAGAGUAAAAAUUAAACAUCAACCCAAGUAACAAAUCUAAUAAAGAAGAGGAAGAGGAGGUUUCCGAGACACACAUAAUCACAGAUCUGAUUACUAAACUAAAUCAAAUUAGUUAUGACACUUAGAUCUUAGUACAUUAUGAAUAAAAAAAUUCAAAGUGGAUCCCAAUUAAAUAAAACCAAAAUUUCUGGACAAAGCUAAUAAGUAAAAAGAAGAAACUUGAAAAAGCUAACAAUUUGAAACAGACAUCAAAGCCAUACCCAGACAAAGCUGCACGGCGGUGAGGAAGUCGACGGUGGACCUCUUUUGUUGCUCACUAUGUUGAGGUCACCUACAGUGAAGAUCAAACAAACGUUUCCCUAAAAACAAAAAGCAGAGUAUAAUCUAAAGAGAUAUUUCUAACCUGAAACAGCAUAGAAAAAGACCUCGUGUACAGCUCGUUCGCAAGCAGAUCUAAAAAAAUCGAUGUUCUCGUUUAAUCUGAAACAGAAGGGAAGCGCCAUUUUAGAGAGAGAGGUUUGAGUUUUCAUUUUUACAAAAUUAGGGUUACAAACGUGGGCUUCCUUUAUAUAGGGACCUCUUUUGUUGCUCACUAUGUUGAGGUCACCUACAGUGAAGAUCAAACAAACGUUUCCCUAAAAACAAAAAGCAGAGUAUAAUCUAAAGAGAGAUUUCUAACCUAAAACAGCAUAGAAAAAGACCUCGUGUACAGCUCGUUCGCAAGCAGAUCUAAAAAAUCGAUGUUCUCGUUUAAUCUGAAACAGAAGGGAAGCGCCGUUUUAGAGAGAGAGGUUUGAGUUUUCAUUUU